RNAcentral lists this transfer RNA (67 nucleotides) under Marmota monax (woodchuck). Its description in RNAcentral is "tRNA.Ala". The stretch from base 6 to 62 matches the Rfam family "tRNA", at positions 8 to 63 of the family's 71-position model. From Rfam's summary of the family: Transfer RNA (tRNA) molecules are approximately 80 nucleotides in length. Their secondary structure includes four short double-helical elements and three loops (D, anti-codon, and T loops). The record is from RNAcentral. Lineage: Eukaryota; Metazoa; Chordata; Mammalia; Rodentia; Sciuridae.
GGCUAUAGCUCAGUGGUAGAGCACUUGCCUUGCGUGUGUGAGGUACUGAGUUCGAUCCUCAGCACCA